AGGAGUACUGUAGUCUUGGACUCAGAGGGCAGAGGACUUGUGGCAACAUAUAGGACUUCUGGAGCUAAAGGAAGGACGUGUCAUGGCUUGAGAAAAAGCGUGAAAAUCUAGACUUGACUCUUUGGAGACCAAAACUGGAAGAUGAGACAGUUUGCAUUUUGAUCAGAUGUAGCUGUUCAAUCUUCCAAAAGAAUUAGAAAAAGAAGAUAAGAGGGAGAGGGAGGGAAAGAGAGGCAUAGCAGAGAGAGCAUGAAGAAGGUAUGUAUAUGUAACAGAGACAUAAAUUAAGACUGGAUUGAGGCAGAUGAAGAAACAAGUACAAGGCAAUAAUGGUGGAAGAGACAGAAGAGAACUUCCUAAAUUAAAGCAGACAAAAAUGUGAAAAAGAAAAUCUAUGAGGAGAAAUUAGAGAAUGGUGAGGCAUGAAAAAGGAAUAUGAAAAUAAAGAUUUCUGUUAUAAGUUUCAGAUUUAAUAUGUGUUUUAUGCAGCAACUGUCACACUUCAAUAUUAGCAAUUUUUGCUUCUAUUACUUUAACUCAUAGUCACGGAUAGAAUGGUAAAGUCUGAAGAGGUGGGAAGGCACAAACCAAAAAUGUGUCUGUCCUACAGUAAUUGUAAUCUGAAGUUAAAACAAAUAACAAUAUAUGAUACAGACGAAAGAAGAACACAAGGAAAUGUUUAGA
Molecule: long non-coding RNA, 684 nt
Organism: Athene cunicularia (burrowing owl)
Lineage: Eukaryota; Metazoa; Chordata; Aves; Strigiformes; Strigidae
Exons: 3
Source: RefSeq, a predicted model, not a curated record